UCCCAUCCCGAACAGAGAAGUUAAGCCCGCCUGCGCAGAUGGUACUGCAAUUUGUGGGAGAGUAUGUCGCUGCCUUUU
This 78-nucleotide ribosomal RNA is filed under the name Flavobacterium sp. The record is from RNAcentral. Lineage: Bacteria; Pseudomonadati; Bacteroidota; Flavobacteriia; Flavobacteriales; Flavobacteriaceae.